This 94-nucleotide small nuclear RNA is filed under the name Salvator merianae (Argentine black and white tegu). Lineage: Eukaryota; Metazoa; Chordata; Lepidosauria; Squamata; Teiidae. The record is from RNAcentral.
GUGCUUGCUUUGACAACACAUAUACUAAAACUGGAAUGUUACAGAGAAGAUAAGCAUGGAUAGCAUGCAAAUUCGUGAAGAUAUUUAAAUAAAA